UCGAACCCUGCAAAGCANNNNCGACCCGUGAACACGUAAUAAUAACCGAGCNCCGAGUGGGUUAAGCGCUUUGUUUGAUCCUCUCGGUGCUUUGUCGAUGUGCAUUUACUCGAGUCCUUUUGGGCCUUGUGAGUGUGUCAUUGGCGCAAUAACAACCCCCGGCACAAUGCGUGCCAAGGAAAACUAAACUUAAGAAGGCUUGUUUCAUGUUUGCCCCGUUCGCGGUGUGCUCAUGGGAUGUGGCUUCUUUAUAAAUCGCUUCGCCCCCCGCAAAUCUAUGUUGGGGGCGGAUAUUGGUCUCCCGUGCUCAUGGCGUGGUUGGCCAAAAUAGGAGUCCCUUCGAUGGACGCACAAACUAGUGGUGGUCGUAAAAACCCUCGUUCUUUGUUUUGUGUCGUUCGUCGCAAUGGAACACUCUAUAAAAACCCCAAUGUGUUGUCUUAGGAUGACGCUUCGACCG
Molecule: ribosomal RNA, 460 nt
Filed under: Argyranthemum adauctum subsp. adauctum
Lineage: Eukaryota; Viridiplantae; Streptophyta; Magnoliopsida; Asterales; Asteraceae
Description: partial internal transcribed spacer
Source: RNAcentral